RNAcentral lists this long non-coding RNA (508 nucleotides) under Dromaius novaehollandiae (emu). RNAcentral's name for it is "lncRNA (ENSDNVG00000013744.1)". Lineage: Eukaryota; Metazoa; Chordata; Aves; Casuariiformes; Dromaiidae. The record is from RNAcentral.
CAUGAUGCAGGAUCCCGCAGCCCUCGGCACUGAGCAGAAAGCAGGGCCUCGGGGCAGAUGAUCGCAGGAGACAUCUUCCCACAGAGGCUGAAGCUGAUUUGGGAAAAUAUGUGGUGUCGUAGCCCCCGUCCUGACCUCCCCACCAUCCUGUUGUGGAUGCUUGGUGCCAGUGCAGCCACCCAAGACUUCUGCAGCUCUCCAGGUGACCUCCCAGCUCCUGAGCUGAUCCUGAAUGUGAUCAGCGCUCAGGAGGGAGAACUGGUUUUGGCUCACUGCUCCAUGGGUGGGGAGUUUCCCGCUACCCAAAUCAUCUUCUGCAAGGAUGGGAUGGAGGUGUACAGCCUGAAAGCCGUACGGGGACAACUGAGUUACUCCGUUCCCCUGAAGGCCUCCCAGGAGAGCACGGGGAGGUACACGUGUGGGUACCAGCACAAGGAUGGGAGCAACCGGGUGAGAAGCUCUUCCCUCAGUGCUCCCCGGGACCUGGCAAUCGCAGGUGAGAUAUGGC